This 510-nucleotide ribosomal RNA is filed under the name Triticum aestivum (bread wheat). Its description in RNAcentral is "partial small subunit ribosomal RNA". The record is from RNAcentral. Lineage: Eukaryota; Viridiplantae; Streptophyta; Magnoliopsida; Poales; Poaceae.
AUGUAUGUGCGCAAUCUUGCGAGACGUUUCCACCACAAGAAAACCCCGGCACUGCUCUUCAAGCUAGAUAUCAAGAAAGCCUUCGACUCUAUUCGUUGGGACUAUCUUCUUGACCUUCUUCAGCACCUUGGUUUUCCUCAGCGCUUUCGAGGAUGGAUCUCAACUCUCCUCUUCUCGGCUUUAUCGUGAGUUCUGCUCAAUGGGGUUCCUGGCACUCCUAUCAAGCUUGGGAAGGGUCUGAGGCAAGAAGAUCCUAUAUCCCCACUCCUUUUUCUGCUGGCCAUCGACCCACUACAUCACAUUCUCAAGAAAGCCACUGCUCAAGGAAAGUUGCACCCUCUUGAUGGCAAUGCCAUGCCUAUCAGAGCCUCCCUCUACGCGGAUGAUGCGGCGGUUUUCCUUGCGCCCAUCAAAAUCGAGGUCAAGUUUUUUGCGGAUACGUUUGCACAAUUUGGGGAAGUGACGGGGCUAACAACGAACUGCUCUAAAAGUCUUGUUGCCCCCAUUUGA